GACGGAGGGUGCUAGCGUUGUUCGGAAUCACUGGGCGUAAAGAGCGCGUAGGCGGCCGAGUAAGUCCGACGUGAAAUCUGGAGGCUUAACCUCCAGCGGUCGUUGGAAACUACUCGGCUAGAGUCCGGAAGAGGAGAGUGGAAUUCCUGGUGUAGCGGUGAAAUGCGCAGAUAUCAGGAAGAACACCGAUGGCGAAAGCAGCUCUCUGGGACGGUACUGACGCUGAGGCGCGAAAGCGUGGGGAGCGAACAGG
Molecule: ribosomal RNA, 253 nt
Filed under: uncultured bacterium
Lineage: Bacteria
Description: partial 16S ribosomal RNA
Rfam family: Bacterial small subunit ribosomal RNA
Source: RNAcentral